GAUGGGCCCNCGGCCUAUCANCUUGUUGGUGGGGUAAUGGCCUACCAAGGCGACNACGGGUAGCCGACCUGAGAGGGUGACCGGCCACACUGGGACUGAGACACGGCCCANACUCCUACGGGAGGCAGCAGUGGGGAAUAUUGCACAAUGGGCGAAAGCCUGAUGCAGCGACGCCGCGUGAGGGAUGACGGCCUUCGGGUUGUAAACCUCUNUCAGCAGGGACGAAGCGCAAGUGACGGUACCNGCAGAAGAAGCACCGGCUAACUACGUGCCAGCAGCCGCGGUAAUACGNAGGGUGCAAGCGUUGUCCGGAAUUACUGGGCGUAAAGAGUUCGUAGGCGGUUUGUCGCGUCGUUUGUGAAAACCAGCAGCUCAACUGCNGGCUUGCAGGCGAUACGGGCA
This 402-nucleotide ribosomal RNA is filed under the name actinobacterium J2056s. RNAcentral's name for it is "bacterial SSU rRNA". It matches the Rfam family "Bacterial small subunit ribosomal RNA", at positions 224 to 638 of the family's 1533-position model. The record is from RNAcentral. Lineage: Bacteria; Bacillati; Actinomycetota; Actinomycetes.